ACAAAUCUGAAUUAGUCGAGCCUCAAAAGGGGUAUCGAACAUCAUGAGAAAAAGAUUGUUUAGUUGUAUAUACACGGUAGAUUAAUCAUCCAAAUAAACUAUUUAAAAACCUUUUAGCAACUCAAUUAAAAAAAAUUAAAGGCAAAAUCAAAAGUACAGAUCUUCUAUUAAAUAUGAAUUUGAAUGAACAUAUGGAGAGCAAAAGAAAAAAGCAACACCGG
Molecule: long non-coding RNA, 221 nt
Filed under: Solanum tuberosum (potato)
Lineage: Eukaryota; Viridiplantae; Streptophyta; Magnoliopsida; Solanales; Solanaceae
Description: long non-coding RNA (STUB_LNC009163)
Source: RNAcentral